UACGUAGGGUGCGAGCGUUGUCCGGAAUUAUUGGGCGUAAAGAGCUCGUAGGCGGUUUGUCGCGUCUGCUGUGAAAACUCGGGGCUUAACCCUGGGCCUGCAGUGGGUACGGGCAGACUAGAGUGCGGUAGGGGAGACUGGAAUUCCUGGUGUAGCGGUGAAAUGCGCAGAUAUCAGGAGGAACACCGGUGGCGAAGGCGGGUCUCUGGGCCGUAACUGACGCUGAGAAGCGAAAGCGUGGGGAGCGAACAGG
RNAcentral lists this ribosomal RNA (253 nucleotides) under uncultured bacterium. RNAcentral describes it as "partial 16S ribosomal RNA". It matches the Rfam family "Bacterial small subunit ribosomal RNA", at positions 524 to 776 of the family's 1533-position model. The record is from RNAcentral.